GAGGGUAUAGCUCAGUGGUAGAGCACAUGCUUAGCCUGCAUGAGGUCCUGGGUUCAAUCCAGCACCUCUA
This 70-nucleotide transfer RNA is filed under the name Camelus bactrianus (Bactrian camel). It matches the Rfam family "tRNA". Rfam says of the family: Transfer RNA (tRNA) molecules are approximately 80 nucleotides in length. Their secondary structure includes four short double-helical elements and three loops (D, anti-codon, and T loops). Further hydrogen bonds mediate the characteristic L-shaped molecular structure. tRNAs have two regions of fundamental functional importance: the anti-codon, which is responsible for specific mRNA codon recognition, and the 3' end, to which the tRNAs corresponding amino acid is attached (by aminoacyl-tRNA synthetases). tRNAs cope with the degeneracy of the genetic code in two manners: having more than one tRNA (with a specific anti-codon) for a particular amino acid; and 'wobble' base-pairing, i.e. permitting non-standard base-pairing at the 3rd anti-codon position. The record is from Rfam by way of RNAcentral. Lineage: Eukaryota; Metazoa; Chordata; Mammalia; Artiodactyla; Camelidae. RNAcentral also lists the same sequence under 1 other name.